GAUGAACGCUGGCGGUAUGCUUAACACAUGCAAGUCGAACGGACUCUUCGGAGUUAGUGGCGGACGGGUGAGUAACGCGUGAGAAUCUGGCUUUGGGUUCGGGACAACCACUGGAAACGGUGGCUAAUACCGGAUGUGCCGAGAGGUAAAAGAGAAAUUGCCUGAAGAUGAGCUCGCGUCUGAUUAGCUAGUUGGUGAGGUAAAGGCUCACCAAGGCAGCGAUCAGUAGCUGGUCUGAGAGGAUGACCAGCCACACUGGGACUGAGACACGGCCCAGACUCCUACGGGAGGCAGCAGUGGGGAAUUUUCCGCAAUGGGCGAAAGCCUAACGGAGCAAUACCGCGUGAGGGAAGAAGGCUCUUGGGUUGUAAACCUCUUUUCUUAGGGAAGAACAAAAUGACGGUACCUAAGGAAUCAGCAUCGGCUAACUCCGUG
Molecule: ribosomal RNA, 435 nt
Filed under: uncultured bacterium
Lineage: Bacteria
Description: partial 16S ribosomal RNA
Rfam family: Bacterial small subunit ribosomal RNA
Source: RNAcentral